CCUGCCUGGGAGUGGGGAAUAACACAGAGAAAUCUGUGCUAAUACCGCAUAAUGCAGUUGAGUCGCAUGGCUCUGACUGCCAAAGAUUUAUCGCUCUUAGAUGGACUCGCGUCUGAUUAGCUGGAUGGCGGGGUAGAGGCCCACCAUGGCGACGAUCAGUAGCCGGACUGAGAGGUUGGCCGGCCACAUUGGGACUGAGACACGGCCCAGACUCCUACGGAAGGCAGCAG
RNAcentral lists this ribosomal RNA (230 nucleotides) under uncultured bacterium. RNAcentral describes it as "partial 16S ribosomal RNA". It matches the Rfam family "Bacterial small subunit ribosomal RNA", at positions 125 to 354 of the family's 1533-position model. The record is from RNAcentral.